This is a non-coding RNA of Sphaerulina musiva SO2202, 158 nucleotides long. The record is from the annotation of a RefSeq genome assembly. Lineage: Eukaryota; Fungi; Ascomycota; Dothideomycetes; Mycosphaerellales; Mycosphaerellaceae.
GGCGUGGUAGUGUAGUGGUCAACACGUCGGUUCCCCAGAACGGGCUCCAGACGAGCACCUGACGAGGUUACUAUCAAGUAAACCACGUUAGAAGUGUGUUUGAGUCGAAGAGUAUUGCUGAGAAUCCGAAGGCACGAGUUCGAAUCUUGUCCGCGCCA